AGCGAACGUUAGCGGCAGGCCUAACACAUGCAAGUCGCACGAGAAUUCGGCUUCGGCCGAUAGUAAAGUGGCGGACGGGUGAGUAACACGUGGAUAAUCUGCCCUUCGGCGGGGGACAACAGUCCGAAAGGAUUGCUAAUACCGCAUACGUCAACGAGGUCUUCGGACCUUGUUGGGAAAGGUGGCCUCUUCAUGAAAGCUACCACCGAAGGAUGAGUCCGCGUCCCAUCAGCUAGUUGGCGGUGUAAUGGACCACCAAGGCUAAGACGGGUAGCUGGUCUGAGAGGAUGAGCAGCCACACUGGGACUGGAAAACGGCCCAGACUCCUACGGGAGGCAGCAGUGGGGAAUAUUGGGCAAGGGGCGCAAGCCUGUCCCAGCCAUGCCGCGUGAGUGAUGAAGGCCUUUGGGUCGUAAAGCUCUGUGGGGAGGGAAGAAACAGCUUGUGGCUAACAUCCACGAGCCCUGACGGUACCUCCUUAGCAAGCACCGGCUAACUCCGUGCCAGCCGCCGCGGUAA
Molecule: ribosomal RNA, 519 nt
Filed under: uncultured bacterium
Lineage: Bacteria
Description: partial 16S ribosomal RNA
Rfam family: Bacterial small subunit ribosomal RNA
Source: RNAcentral